Molecule: transfer RNA, 144 nt
Filed under: Gallicola sp.
Lineage: Bacteria; Bacillati; Bacillota; Tissierellia; Tissierellales; Peptoniphilaceae
Description: tRNA-OTHER
Rfam family: tRNA
About the family: Transfer RNA (tRNA) molecules are approximately 80 nucleotides in length. Their secondary structure includes four short double-helical elements and three loops (D, anti-codon, and T loops).
Source: RNAcentral
GAAGAGAUGGCGGAAUUGGCAGACGCUUAUUUAGCCGAGGUACUAUUAACGAGGACAACGUUCUUAGGGCAUGUGGAAGCUAAGUAGAUGGAAAACGAGAUGUACAUAGGAAGUACAAUGUAGGUUCAAAUCCUGCUCUCUUCA